This 971-nucleotide long non-coding RNA is filed under the name Gallus gallus (chicken). Lineage: Eukaryota; Metazoa; Chordata; Aves; Galliformes; Phasianidae. The record is from RNAcentral.
UGUGCACAGCAUCUCUAGGAUGAAUGCCAGAGUAUCUCCCUGAAGUCUUGGGAGAUGUUGCCUUCAGAUGCCAAGAUAGCCCCAGAAUCGGUCAUCGAGGAUGCUGGUGAGAGAGGAUGCAUUUAAGGUUUUGCACAGCUGAAUCAUGACCUAUAUUACGUCACCAAGCCUUGAAUUUGAUGUAAGCCAGGGUGAAAUCUGGCUUAUCGCUUGUAUUAUAAACAAGGUCUGACAGCAUUUUUCUCCUUCCAACAUGGGAUGAUGUCACUGUAUUGUGGAUAUAUUGUUCAUAUCAGAGGCUUUUGCGAAGAAACUUCAAGUCCAAGAAACUACAAGGCAAAAUCUGUGGUCAUCAAAACUCUCCAGUUGGGCAGUGCCAGCAAAGCACACCAGUAAAAUAAUGAGAGGACUAUCACUAUCACCACCACAAUGAAAACAAUAUUUAGUGGAAAACUUCAAGAAUACUCUUGGAUUCUUUUAUUACUUAAAAAAAAAUCAAGUCAACAAAUCUUUUGCAGUGCUAUUUAUCCUAGACCAAAUGAGAUUCACACACAAUAUAUUUUUAUUAACAGAUUCUGAAUUUUAGUUGCCUCUAGAAUAAUGAUGAGAUAUCUAACACUUUGGUGGCAAAACAAACGGGGGGGAAGAAUGGCACAAGCAAUGUGGCAAAGUCUUUUUCACUCCUUUUUCUGAGAAGGAAAGAGGUAAACAGACCAUAGAGGAGACAUGAGCAUGUUUCUGCAAACCCAGAGGACAUACACCUGAAACUCUACAGAUUCAAAAGCACAAUGAGUAGCAUGUUUCCAGAGACUUCCAAUAAAACAUUUGCACAGUUACAGUUCAGAAGUUUGGAUCAAGUUAACUAAGUCAUAGUCAAGGGUGCUUAGCAGGGUGUGCAGCGUGGGCAAGUUAUAUUCUGCCAGUGUUCAGAGACUGUUAAAGCAAACAGUGGCAAACACAUUAGCCAUCAA